This 73-nucleotide transfer RNA is filed under the name Ailuropoda melanoleuca (giant panda). It matches the Rfam family "tRNA". Rfam says of the family: Transfer RNA (tRNA) molecules are approximately 80 nucleotides in length. Their secondary structure includes four short double-helical elements and three loops (D, anti-codon, and T loops). Further hydrogen bonds mediate the characteristic L-shaped molecular structure. tRNAs have two regions of fundamental functional importance: the anti-codon, which is responsible for specific mRNA codon recognition, and the 3' end, to which the tRNAs corresponding amino acid is attached (by aminoacyl-tRNA synthetases). tRNAs cope with the degeneracy of the genetic code in two manners: having more than one tRNA (with a specific anti-codon) for a particular amino acid; and 'wobble' base-pairing, i.e. permitting non-standard base-pairing at the 3rd anti-codon position. Lineage: Eukaryota; Metazoa; Chordata; Mammalia; Carnivora; Ursidae. The record is from Rfam by way of RNAcentral.
GCCUGGCUAGCUCAGUCAGUAGAGCAUGUGACUCUUGAUCUUGGGGUUGUGAGUUCGAGCCCUACACUGGGUA